UGCGUCUGAAAAGCUAUGGGAACGUUUGAAUAGUAUAAAAGAGAACAACCCGUGUGUUAUUGCUUUGACAAAUGACAUGGCGCCACCUGGCAAAUCUGAUACAAUGGAUCUCUUGUCAGGUGAUGACAUCGUUUCAGAAUCUGUUUCACAACCAAUGACAGAAAUCAGUUUGCUUGAUCAUGGUUACAUUGAAGACAAUAAAACAAAUUCAAUACAACAAGAUGAAAUACAAACCAAAGGGGACGUAGCAGCACUUCAGUACAUAACUUGCUUCAAAAUGUUGUCAGCUUUACAUGGGGUAUGAAUUAUGAUAUGGAUAUUAGAUUAUUAGU
This 332-nucleotide long non-coding RNA is filed under the name Lactuca sativa (garden lettuce). Its description in RNAcentral is "long non-coding RNA (LSAT_LNC000388)". The record is from RNAcentral. Lineage: Eukaryota; Viridiplantae; Streptophyta; Magnoliopsida; Asterales; Asteraceae.